This 253-nucleotide ribosomal RNA is filed under the name uncultured bacterium. RNAcentral describes it as "partial 16S ribosomal RNA". It matches the Rfam family "Bacterial small subunit ribosomal RNA", at positions 524 to 776 of the family's 1533-position model. The record is from RNAcentral.
UACGUAGGUGGCAAGCGUUGUCCGGAUUUAUUGGGUUUAAAGGGUGCGUAGGCGGUCUUAUAAGUCAGUGGUGAAAUACGGCAGCUCAACCUGUCGAGGUGCCAUUGAUACUGUAGGACUUGAGUACAGACGAGGUAGGCGGAAUUGACGGUGUAGCGGUGAAUGCUUAGAUAUCGUCAAGAACACCGAUAGCGAAGGCAGCUUACGUAGGCUGUGAACUGACGCUGAGCACGAAAGUGUGGGAUCAAACAGG